UGCCUACUACUCGCUCGCAUACAUAAAUAACGUACUAAAUUGUACGUUGAGUAGUACGUUCUAGCCGAAGCUAAUAUGUACUAAACUAUUCGGAUGCAGCCUUAUAUCAGAGCCCGUCUGGUUCGCUGGUGGAAAGAUAAACGCCUCCGAAAGAUAAACGCACUCCGUUGCUUGGUAACGCUUGCAUCGUAAGUUAAAGCAACUGGCAUUGCGCAUGCACGGCAUAUCUGGGCUCUGUUGAUAACCACCGCACUACUAACGUGUCCAGUUCCCCGAGCGGCAUAAGGUGGCAUCCAGGUGAUAUCAUUUGAAGAUGUCGUCAAAGCGGAAUAUUGGCAACCAGAAGUAUUUGAAGAAAAGGAUUCCUCAAAAUCCACGUUACCAGCAUGUGAAGUCUAGACUGGAUACAGGCUCCAGUCUGACCAAGGAAAUGGAGAGACUUGAAGAAAUUAAGAAAAAUUACAGAUAUAGAAAGGAUGAACUUUUCAAGAGGCUCAAAGUGACGACUUUUGCUCAGCUGGUUCUUCAAGUUGCUUCAGUCACAGAUCUGAGUGAGACUUCCAAUGGAAAAGAAAAACAAGAUGAUUCCUGUGGACAACCAGAAACAGAUGUAAUCCAUUUUACAAAGACAUCAAGUAGGAUACAGCAGCCCUCACCAGAGCAGUUCAGUAAUGAUGACUGUGGAGAUUCUGUUUCUCCUAGAUCCACGCUUCAGAGUGUGAUUAGUGGUGUUGGAGAACUGGACCUUUAUAGAACUGAUCCAGACACUGUUGAUUUGAUGCCUGGGUCCAGUCCAGAUGUUGAAGAGAAGCCUUACCCUGAUUGUCCAUACCUAUUGUUAGAUGUACGUGAACGAGACUUAUAUGACCAGUGUCAUAUCAUCAGUGCAUUAAGUUAUCCCAUUGCAACCCUUUCACGGACAAUAAACCCUUUCACCAUGGAAGUGCUCAAUUAUAAAAAUGUGAUUGGAAAGAUCAUCAUUGUCUAUGAUGAAGAUGAACGACUCGCAAGUCAGGCAGCCUCUACAAUGUGUGAACGGGGUUUUGAGAACCUCUUCAUGCUCUCUGGAGGCUUGAAAGUUCUUACACAGAAGUUUCCUAAUGGAAUGACAACAGGCUUAGUUCCUGUAUUGUGUCUGUCUGUGGGCAUAGGACAUGCACGCUCCAAUUUCCAUCAAGGCUCUGAAACUGAGAAGAAAUGGAGAUUCACUGCUGAAGACCUGCAGAACAUUCAGAAUUAUUUGGAGCACUGUCUUAUCUCACCCAAUCCCAACAGCCGGCUCAACAGAAUGUCUACAGGGAAUGCACAAUUGAAAUCGUUUCGUGCAGAAGGUCAGCUGUCCAUUUCACCGACCGGGACUGAGCCGGGAAGAACAGAAAGCACCAGACCUUGGAAGUAACCAGAACCAUCUCAUCUUCCCAUGUGUGAUGGAAACACAUAUCCACGGUACCACAGGUGUUGGCUUUUGUGUGCUCCAUGAUGGCCAUUAGAGCUAGCCACGUCUCCUGGGCCGUUGGGAUGAUCUGCUUGGCCGGCAAAAUGAAACCGUAGCGACCUGUGUCCCUCAGCUCAAAUGUGUAGGAGUACUUGAUGCCUUGGUUAUACGUCCAGUCAAUGGUGCCACCACUGGCCUGGUCUGUUGGACAUUAGAUUCAAUGCAAAUAAUCAGACAAGAUUUAUAUCACAUUUUGCUCUCUUCACAAGCUGUGACAAAUGGAGGUGUUAUAACACAAUGACUUCACAAAUGUUCAGAAAAGGACUUUUUACACUAUACACAUGUGGUAGGUCUUAUCUACAAAAUUAUAUUUAGCAUGAUUCACAUGAAAAAGCCCGUUAUGAUGGUUACUUACAGAUGGUAUCGAUAAUACUGCCAUAUCGGUAGCGUGUACCAUAGAGAGAAGCCAGGUCAGUUAUGGCCUUAAAUGCUAGGCUCUUCUGUAAUGGUAAAAUGUUAAAGUGAUUAAUUGAAUUCAAUUUUAUAUGCAGAAGUAGAACUUAGUUGUUUCUGUUUAGAAAUAAUGCUUAUAGACUUAAAAUCCUAAAGGCCGGCUACAUAAUAAACCUUUUAUUCAAGUAUAUUCUCACUCCUUUAAAAAACACCCCAAACCUACCAGUUCCUCAUGGUCUUUCACAGGUGUUGUGGUAUACCCAUAAGGGUAUAAGAGCAUUUGAGAAUAGCUGUGUAUGGAUACAAAGGCUUUGAGGUUUCCAUGAGCCAGAACAAAGUCCACAAUUGAUUUCACUUCAGACUCAGAAUGAGCACUUG
Molecule: RNA transcript, 2266 nt
Organism: Sardina pilchardus (European sardine)
Lineage: Eukaryota; Metazoa; Chordata; Actinopteri; Clupeiformes; Clupeidae
Gene: cep41
Gene name: centrosomal protein 41
Exons: 13
Source: RefSeq, a predicted model, not a curated record